This 501-nucleotide ribosomal RNA is filed under the name uncultured bacterium. RNAcentral's name for it is "partial 16S ribosomal RNA". It matches the Rfam family "Bacterial small subunit ribosomal RNA", at positions 30 to 523 of the family's 1533-position model. The record is from RNAcentral.
AUUGAACGCUGGCGGCAUGCCUUACACAUGUAAGUCGAACGGCAGCACGGGUGCUCGCACCUGGUGGCGAGUGGCGAACGGGUGAGUAAUACAUCGGAACGUACCUUAUCGUGGGGGAUAACGCAGCGAAAGUUGCGCUAAUACCGCAUACGCCCUGAGGGGGAAAGCGGGGGACCGUAAGGCCUCGCGCGAUUAGAGCGGCAGAUGUCUGAUUAGCUUGUUGGUGAGGUAAAAGCUCACCAAGGCGAUGAUCAGUAGCUGGGCUGAGAGGGCGAUCAGCCACACUGGGACUGAGACACGGCCCAGACUCCUACGGGAGGCAGCAGUGGGGAAUUUUGGACAAUGGGGGCAACCCUGAUCCAGCAAUGCCGCGUGAGUGAAGAAGGCCUUCGGGUUGUAAAGCUCUUUUGUCAGGGAAGAAACAGCAGCUCUAACACAGUCUGCGAAUGACGGUACCUGAAGAAUAAGCACCGGCUAACUACGUGCCAGCAGCCGCCGUAA